GGGGGUAGCCGAAUGAUAUCCCGAAGGGGUCCAAUAAGACUUCCUUUCAAGUAAUACAGGGACGGACUGAUACUCUAACUCCCAAUGCAGGAACAGGAAUCUAAAUGAAGAGGAGGGUUUCGAAACCCAUUGAACCUCCCAAUCGAAUGAAUCGUAACAUUAGUAAUGAUCAACUUUACGGAGCCCUAUCACUCGGUUAGAU
Molecule: unclassified non-coding RNA, 202 nt
Filed under: Hevea brasiliensis (rubber tree)
Lineage: Eukaryota; Viridiplantae; Streptophyta; Magnoliopsida; Malpighiales; Euphorbiaceae
Source: RNAcentral